This 543-nucleotide ribosomal RNA is filed under the name uncultured bacterium. RNAcentral describes it as "bacterial SSU rRNA". It matches the Rfam family "Bacterial small subunit ribosomal RNA", at positions 777 to 1319 of the family's 1533-position model. The record is from RNAcentral.
AAUAGAUACCCGGGUAGUCCACGCCGUAAACGAUGAGUGCUAAGUGUUAGGGGGUUUCCGCCCCUUAGUGCUGCAGCUAACGCAUUAAGCACUCCGCCUGGGGAGUACGGUCGCAAGACUGAAACUCAAAGGAAUUGACGGGGGCCCGCACAAGCGGUGGAGCAUGUGGUUUAAUUCGAAGCAACGCGAAGAACCUUACCAGGUCUUGACAUCCCACUGACCGCUAUGGAGACAUAGUUUUCCCUUCGGGGACAGUGGUGACAGGUGGUGCAUGGUUGUCGUCAGCUCGUGUCGUGAGAUGUUGGGUUAAGUCCCGCAACGAGCGCAACCCUUGAUCUUAGUUGCCAUCAUUUAGUUGGGCACUCUAAGGUGACUGCCGGUGACAAACCGGAGGAAGGUGGGGAUGACGUCAAAUCAUCAUGCCCCUUAUGACCUGGGCUACACACGUGCUACAAUGGACGGUACAAACGGUUGCCAACCCGCGAGGGGAGCUAAUCCGAUAAAACCGUUCUCAGUUCGGAUUGUAGGCUGCAACUCGCCUAC